UCUUCACUUCAGGGUAGUCCAGUAAACAUCAUUGUUGGAUCGCAUGUUUGGGCUGAAGAUCCUGAAGCUGCGUGGAUCGAUGGACAAGUGUUAGAGAUUAAAGGAUUGGAUGCAACUAUACUUACUACAGAUGCCAAGACUGUGAGUCCAUCUUCACAUCCCCAAUUCAAUUUCAAUCCACUUGUUACUAGGAUUCAGUUUUGCAAUCAUGCAACCAAGACAAUGAUAAUAUUUUAUUGAUUUAGUUUGUAUUAAUAGAAUAUUAGAAUGUGAGAGGUGAGUGUAGUAUUACAUGUUCAUGUUCUAUAGAAUUUCUAAAAAAAAAAACACAUGUAUUUAUAUCUGUAAUAGUAACAAGUUUAUGAUGUUACAAAGUAUUUGGUUAAAGGAGUCAUGAAAUCUUUAUUUAUUUAGCUAGUGGAUAUGGCCAAAGAAAUAGGAAUAGUAGUAAAAGGGCAAUUGAGAAAGGGUUGAUGGGUGGGUGCCAAAUUCCUUGGAAAUAAAGCAUACCAGCAGUCAUCACCUUCAAGAAAUGCUGUUUAGUAGUUUGAAAUUUAGAAGGUUGUUAGAGUCCUAGCCAAUUCAUAGGUGUAGGAAUAUAUUUCCAAUCUAAACAUUUAAGAGAAAUAAUUCAUGAUUUCAGAUAGUUGCAGCUAUUUCAAGCAUAUAUCCAAAAGAUACUGAAGCGCCCCCGGCCGGGGUUGAUGAUAUGACCAAGUUAGCUUACCUCCACGAGCCGGGGGUCUUAUACAACCUCGCAUGUCGCUUUUCUCUCAAUGAGAUAUAUGUAAGUUCUGUCCACACAAUUUGAUUAACAGAAUGCUAAAGAAAACAGAGAAAAGAUUCUGAUAACAAUUGUGCAGACUUACACAGGGAACAUUUUGAUAGCUGUGAAUCCUUUCCGGAGGUUGCCACAUCUGUAUGAUAUCCAUAUGAUGCAGCAGUACAAAGGAGCUGCUUUCGGAGAGCUGAGUCCGCAUCUCUUUGCCGUUGCAGAUACCUGCUACAGGUUCAUUGUGAUGCAUCAUGUUUGCUUAAACCAGCUGCAUAGUCACUCACAAGUUAAUCUCUUUAUACCUCAGGUCAAUAAUUAAUGAACAUGGAAGCCAGUCUAUCUUGGUGAGCGGAGAGAGUGGAGCUGGAAAAACGGAGACAACGAAAAUGCUAAUGAGAUAUCUAGCAUUCAUGGGAGGGAGGUCUGGCACAGAAGGAAGAACAGUUGAGCAACAGGUUUUGGAGGUGAGAAGAUUGAGAUAUCUCUAUCCUUAGGCAUUGUUAGCAUUUUUUAUUCCAAGAUUUAACAGACAUUCCACAAUUCUAUUUUUUCAUUGCUUUCAGUCAAAUCCAGUUUUGGAAGCAUUUGGCAAUGCAAAAACUGUUAAAAAUAACAAUUCCAGGUAAAUGAAUGCAAAAAAUGUUUCAAGUUCAAAUUUCAACCUUUUAUUGAGUUGUUAAGUUUUGGGCUUACAAGAAGUUCACUUGACUGAGUGGUGUACCAGUCGUUUCGGUAAAUUUGUAGAAAUCCAAUUCGAUAACAUGGGAAGAUCUCUGGGGCUGCAGUUCGG
Molecule: long non-coding RNA, 1565 nt
Filed under: Salvia miltiorrhiza (redroot sage)
Lineage: Eukaryota; Viridiplantae; Streptophyta; Magnoliopsida; Lamiales; Lamiaceae
Description: long non-coding RNA (SMIL_LNC010528)
Source: RNAcentral